Molecule: transfer RNA, 75 nt
Filed under: Cordylochernes scorpioides
Lineage: Eukaryota; Metazoa; Arthropoda; Arachnida; Pseudoscorpiones; Chernetidae
Description: tRNA-Thr
Rfam family: tRNA
About the family: Transfer RNA (tRNA) molecules are approximately 80 nucleotides in length. Their secondary structure includes four short double-helical elements and three loops (D, anti-codon, and T loops). Further hydrogen bonds mediate the characteristic L-shaped molecular structure. tRNAs have two regions of fundamental functional importance: the anti-codon, which is responsible for specific mRNA codon recognition, and the 3' end, to which the tRNAs corresponding amino acid is attached (by aminoacyl-tRNA synthetases). tRNAs cope with the degeneracy of the genetic code in two manners: having more than one tRNA (with a specific anti-codon) for a particular amino acid; and 'wobble' base-pairing, i.e. permitting non-standard base-pairing at the 3rd anti-codon position.
Source: RNAcentral
UGUAGGGUAGCCUAGUGGACAUGGCACCUGCCCGGUAAGCAGAAGGUUGUGGGCUCGAUUCCCGCCCCUGGACAC